This is a long non-coding RNA of Mytilus trossulus (common blue mussel), 466 nucleotides long. RefSeq lists it as uncharacterized. The record is from RefSeq and is a predicted model, not a curated record. Lineage: Eukaryota; Metazoa; Mollusca; Bivalvia; Mytilida; Mytilidae. The transcript has 4 exons.
UAGAUAAAAACAAACGGAGGAAGUAGCAAACACCAUGCCUGAAAUUUGUAAAGCUAGAUCAAUUUUGCACAUCUAAGAGAGAAAUUGAAACAAAUGGAAUGUAGCAAAGUGAUGAGUGCUGAAUAUGGAAAUUGUUAGAACAGCACACUUCCUUUUAACAUGAUGGAGUUGCAAAAUUUACCACGGUUCUAUGGUCAACUAAAGGAGACUAAUUUCAUUUAUCAAAGGACAGGAGACUUUCCAUGCCUCAAGACUUUAAAAGCUGAAAUUGGAAAUAAGAUGCAGAGAACCAUUCAUAAAGUGUAAACAUGAAACUGAUAUUUACAAUGUUCUUUAGAGCUAUAACUCUAGCCCUUAAGAUUACAUUACACUACUAUUGCUUGCUAAUUCUACUAUCAACAGUAAACAGUAAAAGAGAGAAGAUUCAGGACUAAGAGUGAUUUUUGUAGUUUGCUGUGGAUUAAAU